RNAcentral lists this long non-coding RNA (586 nucleotides) under Ficedula albicollis (Collared flycatcher). Its description in RNAcentral is "lncRNA (ENSFALG00000025368.1)". The record is from RNAcentral. Lineage: Eukaryota; Metazoa; Chordata; Aves; Passeriformes; Muscicapidae.
AUGGAAAGCCAAAAGCCACGGCAGCUCCAUGUCCCCCAAACACAGCCCAGGAGUUUUUGUGUCCCGUUCUCAUGGUGCUGCUCUCUAACCCCCCCAGGGAGCGAUGCCAAGCACAGCCCAGAGCUGCUGGAUGUGGAUUCCAGCCCUGAUUCCGGAGCUGCUCCCCCAGGAGGAGCCCUCAGCAACGCUGAGGUGCGGAAAGGAGCUGUCCCAGAAAGUUCCAGCUCUGAUGAAAGCCACGGAUCCAACACUGUGGCCUUAGUGCUGGGCCCUCUUGCUGGCCUGAUCCUGAUUGCUGUGGCAGCUUUUGCCAUCGUCAAAUACAGGCAGCUGAAGAGAUCUGAGCUGGUGUCCGUGGGCAGCUACAGGACGAACAUCAGCAUGUCAGACUUUGAGAACGUGCGGGACCUGAGCGGCUGCAGCGGCGUGAUGGAGAGCCAGGAGACCCCGGUGGGAGGGGACGGUGAGUGCAGGGCGCAGCCCGGCGUGUCCCCCCCCCCCCCCCCCCCCCCCCCCCCCCCCCCCCCCCCCCCCCCCCCCCCCCCCCCCCCCCCCCCCCCCCCCCCCCCCCCCCCCCCCCCCCCCC